CGAUAGCGGAUAGUACCGUGAGGGAAUGGUGAAAAGUACCGCGGGAGCGGAGUGAAAUAGUACCUGAAACCGUGUGCCUACAAGCCGUGGGAGCGUCGCACAAGGAACUUGUUCCUUGUGUCGUGACUGCGUGCCUUUUGAAGAAUGAGCCUGCGAGUUUGCGGUAUGUUGCGAGGUUAACCCGUGUGGGGAAGCCGUAGCGAAAGCGAGUCCGAAUA
Streptomyces decoyicus is the source of this 218-nucleotide non-coding RNA. Lineage: Bacteria; Bacillati; Actinomycetota; Actinomycetes; Kitasatosporales; Streptomycetaceae. The record is from Rfam.